GGAAGUGGGGAGGGGUGGGUGAGGAUGGAGAAGAAGUCAGGCAAGUGUCCUCUUCCCCCUUAUGGCUCCAUAUGUGUCCCUUCCCAAAGCACGUGCUUAAAGGGCAACCUUUCCUGACAGGGGAAAAGGAUCUUUAAUCAAAGGUGUACAAGAAGCGAUGGUCGUCUGUGAGAACCUCCAAAUAACUCUCAAAGGACAGCACAGGAGGGCAAAUGAUUCAAACUUUAGUUCAUAAACUCAUAUGCAGACAU
This 251-nucleotide small nuclear RNA is filed under the name Microtus ochrogaster (prairie vole). RNAcentral describes it as "7SK RNA (ENSMOCG00000008084.1)". It matches the Rfam family "7SK RNA". Rfam says of the family: 7SK was discovered as an abundant small nuclear RNA in the mid-70s but a possible function has only recently been suggested. Two independent studies have found that 7SK RNA binds the CDK9/cyclin T complex (known as elongation factor P-TEFb). P-TEFb activates transcription by phosphorylating the C-terminal domain of RNA polymerase II. Lineage: Eukaryota; Metazoa; Chordata; Mammalia; Rodentia; Cricetidae. The record is from RNAcentral.